UAGACCAAUGAUAAUGACCACUGGCAUGUGAGUCAUUAUAGGUGAAUAAUAGGUGUCUGAGACUUUGAGGUCAAA
Molecule: small nucleolar RNA, 75 nt
Organism: Otolemur garnettii (small-eared galago)
Lineage: Eukaryota; Metazoa; Chordata; Mammalia; Primates; Galagidae
Gene: SNORD114-2
Product: small nucleolar RNA, C/D box 114-2
Source: Ensembl